UAUCCAUUUACACCUGUGAACCGUUUGAUUGACACUCUGUGUUGAUUUUACAAACAAUAUGUAAAGAAAGUCAAGUUAUUAUAACAAAAAAUAACUUUCAACAACGGAUCUCUUGGCUCUCGCAUCGAUGAAGAACGCAGCGAAAUGCGAUAAGUAAUGUGAAUUGCAGAAUUCAGUGAAUCAUCGAAUCUUUGAACGCAACUUGCGCUCUCUGGUAUUCCGGAGAGCAUGCCUGUUUGAGUGUCAUGAAAUCUCAACCAUUAGGGUUUCUUAAUGGCUUGGAUUUGGGUGUUGCCAGUCUCUGGCUCGCCUUAAAGGAGUUAGCGAGUUUAACAAUGUCGUCUGGCGUAAUAAGUUUCGCUGGUAAGACUUGUGAAGUUUGCUUCUAAUCGUCUUCGGACAAUUACUUUGACUCUGGCCUCAAAUCAGGUAGGACU
This 437-nucleotide ribosomal RNA is filed under the name Apiotrichum porosum. RNAcentral describes it as "eukaryotic LSU rRNA". The stretch from base 93 to 246 matches the Rfam family "5.8S ribosomal RNA". The record is from RNAcentral. Lineage: Eukaryota; Fungi; Basidiomycota; Tremellomycetes; Trichosporonales; Trichosporonaceae. RNAcentral also lists the same sequence under 1 other name.